RNAcentral lists this ribosomal RNA (492 nucleotides) under uncultured bacterium. Its description in RNAcentral is "partial 16S ribosomal RNA". It matches the Rfam family "Bacterial small subunit ribosomal RNA", at positions 29 to 507 of the family's 1533-position model. The record is from RNAcentral.
AGUGAACGCUGGCGGUAGGCCUAACACAUGCAAGUCGAACGGCAGCACAGUAAGAGCUUGUUCUUACGGGUGGCGAGUGGCGGACGGGUGAGGAAUACAUCGGAAUCUACUUUUUCGUGGGGGAUAACGUAGGGAAACUUACGCUAAUACCGCAUACGACCUACGGGUGAAAGCAGGGGAUCUUCGGACCUUGCGCGAUUAAAUGAGCCGAUGUCGGAUUAGCUAGUUGGCGGGGUAAAGGCCCACCAAGGCGACGAUCCGUAGCUGGUCUGAGAGGAUGAUCAGCCACACUGGAACUGAGACACGGUCCAGACUCCUACGGGAGGCAGCAGUGGGGAAUAUUGGACAAUGGGCGCAAGCCUGAUCCAGCCAUACCGCGUGGGUGAAGAAGGCCUUCGGGUUGUAAAGCCCUUUUGUUGGGAAAGAAAAGCAGCAGGUUAAUACCCCGCUGUUCUGACGGUACCCAAAGAAUAAGCACCGGCUAACUUCGUG